Molecule: transfer RNA, 60 nt
Filed under: Neotoma lepida (desert woodrat)
Lineage: Eukaryota; Metazoa; Chordata; Mammalia; Rodentia; Cricetidae
Rfam family: tRNA
About the family: Transfer RNA (tRNA) molecules are approximately 80 nucleotides in length. Their secondary structure includes four short double-helical elements and three loops (D, anti-codon, and T loops). Further hydrogen bonds mediate the characteristic L-shaped molecular structure. tRNAs have two regions of fundamental functional importance: the anti-codon, which is responsible for specific mRNA codon recognition, and the 3' end, to which the tRNAs corresponding amino acid is attached (by aminoacyl-tRNA synthetases). tRNAs cope with the degeneracy of the genetic code in two manners: having more than one tRNA (with a specific anti-codon) for a particular amino acid; and 'wobble' base-pairing, i.e. permitting non-standard base-pairing at the 3rd anti-codon position.
Source: Rfam by way of RNAcentral
GUAGCUCAGCUGGUAGAGUGCUUGCCUAGCAUGCAUAAGGUCCUGGGUUCGAUCCCCAGC